GGGCCAUUGGCGCAGUGGUAGCGCGCUUCCUUCACACGGAAGAGGUCACUGGUUCGAACCCAGUAUGGCCCACCG
This 75-nucleotide transfer RNA is filed under the name Winkia neuii. RNAcentral's name for it is "Actinomyces neuii tRNA-Val". It matches the Rfam family "tRNA". Rfam says of the family: Transfer RNA (tRNA) molecules are approximately 80 nucleotides in length. Their secondary structure includes four short double-helical elements and three loops (D, anti-codon, and T loops). RNAcentral also lists the same sequence under 3 other names. Lineage: Bacteria; Bacillati; Actinomycetota; Actinomycetes; Actinomycetales; Actinomycetaceae. The record is from RNAcentral.